AACGCUUGCCCCCUACGUAUUACCGCGGCUGCUGGCACGUAGUUAGCCGGCGCUUCUUCUGCAGGUACCGUCACUUUCUCUUCUUCCCUGCUAAAUUAAGUUUACAACCCGAAGGCCGUCUUCCCUCACGCGGCGGGGCUGCAUCAGGCUUGC
This 153-nucleotide ribosomal RNA is filed under the name Streptomyces rameus. RNAcentral describes it as "partial 16S rRNA". The record is from RNAcentral. Lineage: Bacteria; Bacillati; Actinomycetota; Actinomycetes; Kitasatosporales; Streptomycetaceae.